This 82-nucleotide transfer RNA is filed under the name Saccoglossus kowalevskii. RNAcentral's name for it is "tRNA-Ser". It matches the Rfam family "tRNA". From Rfam's summary of the family: Transfer RNA (tRNA) molecules are approximately 80 nucleotides in length. Their secondary structure includes four short double-helical elements and three loops (D, anti-codon, and T loops). Lineage: Eukaryota; Metazoa; Hemichordata; Enteropneusta; Harrimaniidae. The record is from RNAcentral.
GUAGUCGUGGCCUGGUGGUUAAGUUGAUUGACUAGAAAUCCAUUGGGCUCUGCCCGCGCAGGUUCGAAUCCUGCCGACUACG